This 500-nucleotide ribosomal RNA is filed under the name uncultured Glomeromycotina. Its description in RNAcentral is "partial small subunit ribosomal RNA". It matches the Rfam family "Eukaryotic small subunit ribosomal RNA", at positions 591 to 1092 of the family's 1831-position model. Lineage: Eukaryota; Fungi; Glomeromycota. The record is from RNAcentral.
CCAAUAGCGUAUAUUAAAGUUGUUGCAGUUCAAAAGCUCGUAGUUGAAUUUCGGGGUCAGUAGGUUGGUCAUGCCACUGGUAUGUACUGGUCUCACUGAUUCCUCCUUCCUGAUGAGCCGUAAUGCCAUUAAUUUGGUGUUGCGAGGAAUCUGGACUGUUACUUUGAAAAAAUUAGAGUGUUUAAAGCAGGCUAACGCUUGAAUACAUUAGCAUGGAAUAAUGAAAUAGGACGUUCGAUCUUAUUUUGUUGGUUUCUAAGAUUGACGUAAUGAUUAAUAGGGAUAGUUGGGGGCAUUAGUAUUCAAUUGUCAGAGGUGAAAUUCUUGGAUUUAUUGAAGACUAACUACUGCGAAAGCAUUUGCCAAGGAUGUUUUCAUUAAUCAAGAACGAAAGUUAGGGGAUCGAAGACGAUCAGAUACCGUCGUAGUCUUAACCAUAAACUAUGCCGACUAGGGAUCGGAUGAUGUUAAUUUUUUAAUGACUCAUUCGGCGCCUUACG